This 375-nucleotide ribosomal RNA is filed under the name uncultured bacterium. Its description in RNAcentral is "bacterial SSU rRNA". It matches the Rfam family "Bacterial small subunit ribosomal RNA", at positions 28 to 404 of the family's 1533-position model. The record is from RNAcentral.
GACGAACGCUGGCGGCGUGCUUAACACAUGCAAGUCGAGCGGUAAGGCCCUUUCGGGGGUACACGAGCGGCGAACGGGUGAGUAACACGUGGGUGACCUGCCCUCAGCUCUGGGAUAAGCCUGGGAAACCGGGUCUAAUACUGGAUAUGACUCCAUGACGCAUGUUGUGGGGUGGAAAGCCUUGUGCGGCUGAGGAUGGGCCCGCGGCCUAUCAGCUUGUUGGUGGGGUGGUGGCCUACCAAGGCGACGACGGGUAGCCGGCCUGAGAGGGCGACCGGCCACACUGGGACUGAGACACGGCCCAGACUCCUACGGGAGGCAGCAGUGGGGAAUCUUGCGCAAUGGGCGAAAGCCUGACGCAGCGACGCCGCGUGA